UAUGUUUUGGUGUAUGAUGCACAGGAAUUUUUGAUGUUCCGGGAAAUAGUUUAAUUCUGUUAAAUAUAA
This 69-nucleotide transfer RNA is filed under the name Gryllotalpa henana. RNAcentral's name for it is "tRNA-Gln". The record is from RNAcentral. Lineage: Eukaryota; Metazoa; Arthropoda; Insecta; Orthoptera; Gryllotalpidae.